This is a long non-coding RNA of Carassius auratus (goldfish), 692 nucleotides long. RefSeq lists it as uncharacterized. The record is from RefSeq and is a predicted model, not a curated record. The transcript has 3 exons. NCBI's taxonomy places the organism in Eukaryota, Metazoa, Chordata, Actinopteri, Cypriniformes, Cyprinidae.
CAUUUAUGUGAAAUUAUGUACCACAACUUAAUAGUUUUGCUUUAUGUAUUAAAUUGUUUUAUCUGUUGAACACCAAACAUAAACAAAAAGAAGUUAUAAACUCAUUAUUUUCAUUAAUUUUACAAAGUAAACAAAUUGUUUGCAUUUGAGUGCAGUGCAUGUUUUUGAAUUCCAACGGUCGAGAAGAGACUGAUCCCUGUCUGCUGAUUUAAAUUUAUGAUCUGAUGGAAAUAUUGUUGUGAUUGAGGUUUGAUGUCCUGAUGCAUGGAGAGGAAAGGGUAUUUAGAGACAGAGAUCCUGAAUCCUCUGUGACAUUCACGCAGCAUCUUGAGGAUUACUAGAGGAAUGAGACAUUCUGACACAUCUAAAAUAAACCGCUGUCCACACUCAAAUCCACUGUGAUGGAAACAGAUGCUGGACGCUGCAGACCAUCAGCCACCACAGCAAACCAAACCCACACUUGCUAUUAGACACUUUAUACCAAUGCUUGUCUUCUUUGAUGGAAACUCAUGCGCCACCUUGAGCAAAAAUAGUUAAUAAAAUCUUCCCUUUUGCAGCUGCCACAACAAUGCAUCAUCGAUCAUCCUCCUGUUGUGCUGAAAACUGGCUACAACUUCUGUUUCAAUUUGGCAAAAAAUGACUCUAUGAAAAACAAAGAUUCAUGCAAAAAAGUCUAUAGCAAUAAAAAAAAA